CAUCAUUCUACAGUCCUGAACUGCUAAAGCUUGAAUGUUGAACAAUCCCUGUUGUGUUUACAGAAAGAGCACCAAAACGCUGAAGCAUCAAGUUAAGGUAAUAAAAGUUACGUUAAAGCAGAUGCAGAGAAGAUCAGGGAAACAAGGAAUCCAUCUUGGGAAGGUAAGGGAGCUUUGUUUAGAGCAGCAGAACAAAAGCUGAAAGGAGACAUAAUUUUUACCUGCGCUGAGGAGUUAAAGUCCAAGGAGGCAGAAAAUGCUCAAAAACAAUGGUUAGUUUAAAACUUUGGGUUGUUUUUUUUCUGCCAGUGGAGUCAUGCAAAGUUUAUUAGACUUUUAACCAACAAAUUUAUGAGCUUCUGAAACAGCUUCUCAACAGGAGAGGAGAGGUGAGGCAAAACCCAUGCAACUAAUGUAAUUGAGAGCUUAAUCUUUCUUGCAGACGUCUAUGAUGUGAUGGAGCUUCCUGCAAUGCAGAAGUGGAUUUAACAACCAGAGCUCUGGAGACCUGCAUUUCUGUGGCUCACUACAAAGCAGGGAACAUAGGCAGGUAAACAAGUAUUUCAGUAGGAUUCUACCUUCAAAGAAUGGGAUGCAGGCUGUAGGUAGGCAACUUCCAUGUCCAUAAAGAUACCAUCCAUCAGAAGUUGAGGCACAAGAACCUCCACUGACAGCUCAGAGAAUGAAAUACACAGAAUAAGUAGCCAAUAUUCAAGUAAGAUCAGGAAGACUCCCUUUGUAUACAUACUGAAAAGACAACAAUGACAAAACCUCAAGAGGUCCUAGCCCAUAGUUUGUAGCUGAUGAUCUUAAUCAUGAAAAGCACUUUACUUUGGUUGCUUGGUUGACUUCUCUUUGCAAACAGACUGUUAGGGUGCAGAGAAGUAUCUGGCAUCACCUUGGACGUAUCUGGAGAAGCAAAACUACAGACAAGCUGUUUCUUCCACUAAGUCGCUUCCUUUCUAACUUGGAAGCUACAUUCCAGACACCUGUACUCCACUAAAGACUGCUACCUACCUUUUUAACUAGUUGAAAGAUCAAAACUUCCUAAGUCGCUUCUGAAACUCGAAUGCUAUACAGCAAUUCUACCAAAGGGUCAUUAAAAGCAUAUACCUACCUCUUCUGGUUUAACUUCUCUGCUAGUGAAAUCUUUUAUGCAAUCCAGGAAGCAGUUUUCUGUAAUUUUAUUGUAUGUUCCAAGAAACUCCUUGAACUAUAAAUAAAAAUUAGACAAUGAGUAUUAAGAAAAA
Long non-coding RNA from Neopsephotus bourkii (Bourke's parrot), 1250 nucleotides. RefSeq lists it as uncharacterized. The record is from RefSeq and is a predicted model, not a curated record. The transcript has 2 exons. Lineage: Eukaryota; Metazoa; Chordata; Aves; Psittaciformes; Psittacidae.